GUGUCAGCCGCCGCGGUAAUACGGAGGGCGCAAGCGUUGCCCGGAAUCACUGGGUGUAAAGGGUGCGUAGGCGGGGCUGUAAGUCAGAGGUGAAAGCCUCCGGCUCAACCGGAGAAUUGCCUCUGAUACUGCAGCUCUUGAGUCCCGGAGAGGCCGCUGGAAUUCCUGGUGUAGCGGUGAAAUGCGUAGAUAUCAGGAGGAACACCGGAGGCGAAGGCGGGCGGCUGGACGGGGACUGACGCUGAGGCACGAAAGCGUGGGGAGCAAACAGGAUUAGAUACCCUGGUAGUCCACGCCGUAAACGAUGGAUGCUCGGCGUUGCCGCCUUCGGGCGGCAGUGCCUAAGCUAACGCGGUAAGCAUCCCACCUGGGGAGUACGGCCGCAAGGUUGAAACUUAAAUGAAUUGACGGGG
Molecule: ribosomal RNA, 413 nt
Filed under: uncultured prokaryote
Description: bacterial SSU rRNA
Rfam family: Bacterial small subunit ribosomal RNA
Source: RNAcentral